This 382-nucleotide ribosomal RNA is filed under the name uncultured organism. RNAcentral's name for it is "bacterial LSU rRNA". It matches the Rfam family "Bacterial large subunit ribosomal RNA", at positions 2106 to 2486 of the family's 2925-position model. The record is from RNAcentral.
CCCCCUAGACUUUUAGAGUUGGGCUUGGUUUGCGCAGAAUAGGUGGGAGGCGUUGAAAUCGUUCUCCGGGAAGAUUGGAGCCGUCAUUGAGAUACCACUCUUAUAGAGCUAAAAUUCUAAUUGUGAUUCCUUGAAUCAGGACAGGAACUCUUUCUGGUGGGCAGUUUUAUUGGGGCAAUAGCCUCCUAAAGGGUAACGGACGCGCGCAAAGUUCCCCUCAUACUAUACGAAAAUUAGUCUUAAAGCGUAAAGGCAGAAGGGGUCUUAACUGCAAAACCGAAAACUCAAGCAGGAGAAAAUGCUGGCCUUAGUUAUCCGGCGUUCCCGUGUGAAGGGCCCCUCUCUCCGGGGAAAAAGUUUCUUCUGGGGAUAAGGGGAAAAA